AUUUAUAUAGUUUAAAAAAAACAAUAUAUUUUCAAUAUAUAAUUAAUAAUAUUCCCAGACUAUUCAUUUAUUUAUAAAUU
RNAcentral lists this transfer RNA (80 nucleotides) under Orussus terminalis. RNAcentral's name for it is "tRNA-Glu". Lineage: Eukaryota; Metazoa; Arthropoda; Insecta; Hymenoptera; Orussidae. The record is from RNAcentral.